RNAcentral lists this ribosomal RNA (481 nucleotides) under Abiotrophia sp. canine oral taxon 229. RNAcentral's name for it is "bacterial SSU rRNA". It matches the Rfam family "Bacterial small subunit ribosomal RNA", at positions 9 to 471 of the family's 1533-position model. The record is from RNAcentral. Lineage: Bacteria; Bacillati; Bacillota; Bacilli; Lactobacillales; Aerococcaceae.
GAGUUUGAUCCUGGCUCAGGACGAACGCUGGCGGCGUGCCUAAUACAUGCAAGUCGAACGAACGGAAGUUAGAACUUGUUCUAAUGGAAGUGAGUGGCGAACGGGUGAGUAACACGUGGGUAACCUACCUUUAAGCGGGGGAUAACAGUGGGAAACGACUGCUAAUACCGCAUAGGACAUAGCGUCACAUGACGCAGUGAGGAAAGACGGUUUCGGCUGUCACUUAGAGAUGGACCCGCGGUGCAUUAGCUAGUUGGUAAGGUAACGGCUUACCAAGGCGAUGAUGCAUAGCCGACCUGAGAGGGUGAUCGGCCACAUUGGGACUGAGACACGGCCCAAACUCCUACGGGAGGCAGCAGUAGGGAAUCUUCCGCAAUGGACGAAAGUCUGACGGAGCAACGCCGCGUGAGUGAAGAAGGUCUUCGGAUCGUAAAGCUCUGUUGUUAGAGAAGAAGAGUUAUGGGAGUAACUGCCCAUAAUG